GUGGGGAAUAUUGGACAAUGGGCGCAAGCCUGAUCCAGCCAUGCCGCGUGAGUGAUGAAGGCCUUAGGGUUGUAAAGCUCUUUCAGUGGGGACGAUAAUGACGGUACCCACAGAAGAAGCCCCGGCUAACUUCGUGCCAGCAGCCGCGGUAAUACGAAGGGGGCUAGCGUUGUUCGGAUUUACUGGGCGUAAAGCGCACGUAGGCGGAUCGUUAAGUCGGGGGUGAAAUCCUGGAGCUCAACUCCAGAACUGCCUUCGAUACUGGCGAUCUUGAGUCCGGAAGAGGUGAGUGGAACUCCUAGUGUAGAGGUGGAAUUCGUAGAUAUUAGGAAGAACACCAGUGGCGAAGGCGGCUCACUGGUCCAUUACUGACGCUGAGGUGCGAAAGCGUGGGGAGCAAACAGGAUUAGAAACCCCUGUAGUCC
This 425-nucleotide ribosomal RNA is filed under the name uncultured bacterium. RNAcentral's name for it is "bacterial SSU rRNA". It matches the Rfam family "Bacterial small subunit ribosomal RNA", at positions 354 to 796 of the family's 1533-position model. The record is from RNAcentral.